This is a long non-coding RNA of Armigeres subalbatus, 791 nucleotides long. RefSeq lists it as uncharacterized. Lineage: Eukaryota; Metazoa; Arthropoda; Insecta; Diptera; Culicidae. The transcript is spliced from 3 exons. The record is from RefSeq and is a predicted model, not a curated record.
CUGAACAGAGUAGAAGUGCGCGCGUGUGUAGUGUUAGUAUUGUGAAGGUAAAAUUGUGAAGCCUUUUGUGUGGUGAAAUUGUUAAAAUCUAAGUUUGUUCUCUUUUUGUGUUAGGUCUUAAAGCUAUUGUUAGUAGAAUGAAAGGAAUAGAAAAGUUUUAGUAAACAUGCAUAAUACAAAAAUUAGUACGCUAAAACGCAAAAGUUACUGUCCUUAAACUAAGUGACAAACAACAAAUAAUUUGAAGACAAACAAACAAGAAAAAGGUCCGGAAAGUGGACCUUUUUCUUCCGACCUUUCUUCUAUUUUAAACAGAAGUGUCCGGAGGCCGAUUUCCCGGAUACCAUCGCGUACCUCGCCGAUCGAACGCCGUCAUUAACAAUUCCGCCAUCUUUGUCACCAGUGACUGGCAAAACACAGCUACCAACCGUCAUCCCGGUAGCUCAAUUCCGCCAUCGUAGUCCUCGUCGACUGGCAACAGCACCAUUACCAUCCCCACCCCGGUGGUCUGAUUCCGCCAUCUCCGUCACCAUUGACUGGCCAAAUCCCACCACGAACAUCGUUAUCCGGUGGUACACUUCCGCCAUCUUCGUCAACAUUGACUGGCCACGCCACCACUACCAUCGUUACCGGUAGUAUGAUUCCGCCAUAUUCGUCAUAAUUGACUGGCCAGAACGGUAGCUUUCGCCCGGAGGCGACCAAACACUACCCAAGAAUGGACUCUGGUUCAGUCAGACGACUGAGUGUCAGAGUAAUGUGUCAAUAUAUGGAGCCAAUUCUCAUACACCUGU